GUCUUGCUCCACCCGAGAAAGAGCACUGGGGAACGGUUGAUUAGCACGUGGGGAACGUGCCCAUCAGAUGGGGAUAACACGUGGAAACAGGUGCUAAUACCGUAUAACAAGCGAAACCGCGUGGUUUUGAUUUGAAAGGCGCUUUCGGGUGUCGCUGAUGGAUGGACCCGCGGUGCAUUAGCUAGUUGGUGAGGUAACGGCUCACCAAGGCCACGAUGCAUAGCCGACCUGAGAGGGUGAUCGGCCACAUUGGGACUGAGACACGGCCCAAACUCCUACGGGAGGCAGCAGUAGGGAAUCUUCGGCAAUGGACGAAAGUCUGACCGAGCAACGCCGCGUGAGUGAAGAAGGUUUUCGGAUCGUAAAACUCUGUUGUUAGAGAAGAACAAGGAUGAGAGUA
This 400-nucleotide ribosomal RNA is filed under the name Enterococcus lactis. RNAcentral's name for it is "bacterial SSU rRNA". It matches the Rfam family "Bacterial small subunit ribosomal RNA", at positions 69 to 463 of the family's 1533-position model. Lineage: Bacteria; Bacillati; Bacillota; Bacilli; Lactobacillales; Enterococcaceae. The record is from RNAcentral.